This 253-nucleotide ribosomal RNA is filed under the name uncultured bacterium. RNAcentral's name for it is "partial 16S ribosomal RNA". It matches the Rfam family "Archaeal small subunit ribosomal RNA", at positions 474 to 727 of the family's 1478-position model. The record is from RNAcentral.
UACCAGCACCCCGAGUGGUCGGGACGAUUAUUGGGCCUAAAGCAUCCGCAGCCGGUUUUACAAGUCCUCCGUUAAAUCCAGCUGCUUAACAGAUGGGCUGCGGAGGAUACUAUAAGACUAGGAGGCAGGAGAGGCAAGCGGUACUCAGUGGGUAGGGGUAAAAUCCGUUGAUCCAUUGAAGACCACCAGUGGCGAAGGCGGCUUGCCAGAAUGCGCUCGACGGUGAGGGAUGAAAGCUGGGGGAGCAAACCGG